This 292-nucleotide ribosomal RNA is filed under the name uncultured bacterium. RNAcentral's name for it is "partial 16S ribosomal RNA". It matches the Rfam family "Bacterial small subunit ribosomal RNA", at positions 505 to 796 of the family's 1533-position model. The record is from RNAcentral.
GUGCCAGCCGCCGCGGUAAUACGGAGGAGGCAAGCGUUAUCCGGAAUUAUUGGGCGUAAAGCGUCCGCAGGUGGCGAUUCAAGUCUGCGGUCAAAGACUGGGGCUUAACCCUGGAAAGGCCGUGGAAACUGAAUAGCUAGAGUGCAGUAGGGGUAGAGGGAAUUCCCGGUGUAGCGGUGAAAUGCGUAGAGCUCGGGAAGAACAUCGGUGGCGAAAGCGCUCUGCUGGACUGCAACUGACACUCAGGGACGAAAGCUAGGGGAGCGAAUGGGAUUAGAAACCCUUGUAGUCC